GGGGCUGACCGGUUUUGACAGGCCGUGUGCGGCCGUGUGUAAGCAUGCAGGCUCAUAGGAUGAGAGCCUUAAAAGAUAGUCCUGACAAUUACGUGGCGAAGAAACUUACGCCAUGGCUGCUUAAUCUCGCGUAACGCGUGAUUAGCUUAUCCCGCUUAAGAAGCCGGAGGCCAUCAUCGCUCAAUGCCUAUGUUUUGCAGGUGUUGACCAAGCGGUGUCGAUUAGCAAAACCGCUUGCAGCGAGGUUACUAAGCUGCACUAAGACAUAGUAACUACGGUAAGGGUUGGUUGUUAUCUGCCGGCCACUGCCCUACAACCAAAGAUAACUAAGCAUGUAGAAGGCGCGAGUCUCACCUUCUCUGGACCAGGGUUCGAUUCCCUGCAGCUCCACAA
RNAcentral lists this transfer-messenger RNA (393 nucleotides) under Cytophagales bacterium. It matches the Rfam family "transfer-messenger RNA". From Rfam's summary of the family: Bacterial tmRNA, also known as 10Sa RNA or SsrA, is named for its dual tRNA and mRNA-like properties. Lineage: Bacteria; Pseudomonadati; Bacteroidota; Cytophagia; Cytophagales. The record is from RNAcentral. RNAcentral also lists the same sequence under 2 other names.